This 317-nucleotide unclassified non-coding RNA is filed under the name Hevea brasiliensis (rubber tree). The record is from RNAcentral. Lineage: Eukaryota; Viridiplantae; Streptophyta; Magnoliopsida; Malpighiales; Euphorbiaceae.
GAUUCAAGAAGCGGAGUGCGUUAGAGCUCCGGUAUCCUCUUCUUCAUUCCGCGCCGCUGCUGCCUCCACAGAGCUGUUCUAAUGACAAUAGUACCAUGUGGAGGUUCCUGUGUGCCUCAAUUGGGAGUUCGACCUCGCAUAACUCUUAGAUGUUCGCCUCCAGGAGUAAAAGCAUGCUGUGUCACUGACAAGUACCAUGCGGCACAUUUUUGUAUUCCAAGCAAGGAGAAUUGUCUGUCAGCAUCAAGUGCAAGUUUCUUUGGACAGAUCUCUUCAUCUACCCUAUAUAUCGCUGGAAGAUCUCAAACUACUUCCCG